UACGUAGGGUGCGAGCGUUAAUCGAAAUUACUGGGCGUAAAGCGUGCGCAGGCGGUUUUGUAAGCCAGAUGUGAAAUCCCCGGGCUUAACCUGGGAAUGGCAUUUGGGACUGCAAGGCUCGAGUGCGGCAGAGGAGACUGGAAUUCCUGGUGUAGCAGUGAAAUGCGUAGAUAUCAGGAGGAACACCGAUGGCGAAGGCAGGUCUCUGGGCUGACACUGACGCUCAUGCACGAAAGCGUGGGGAGCAAACAGG
RNAcentral lists this ribosomal RNA (253 nucleotides) under uncultured bacterium. RNAcentral describes it as "partial 16S ribosomal RNA". It matches the Rfam family "Bacterial small subunit ribosomal RNA", at positions 524 to 776 of the family's 1533-position model. The record is from RNAcentral.